This is a long non-coding RNA of Dermochelys coriacea (leatherback sea turtle), 147 nucleotides long. RefSeq lists it as uncharacterized. Lineage: Eukaryota; Metazoa; Chordata; Testudines; Dermochelyidae. The transcript is spliced from 3 exons. The record is from RefSeq and is a predicted model, not a curated record.
ACUAUAAAAGGGGAUGGAGAACUCCAAUUUAUCUCUUUCACCUAAGAAGAAAAAGACAGCCGCACCUUUGGGCCUCUGGAAGAGAUCCUGACUGAGGAGAGGGUCAGCCACAAUCUUUCUGGAAGACUGUGGAAACCAGAAAUAUGG